UACAGAGGUCUCAAGCGUUGUUCGGAUUCAUUGGGCGUAAAGGGUGCGUAGGCGGCGAGGUUAGUCAGGUGUGAAAUCUCGGGGCUCAACCCCGAAACUGCACUUGAUACUGCCUUGCUAGAGUACUGGAGAGGAGAUUGGAAUUUACGGUGUAGCGGUGAAAUGCGUAGAUAUCGUAAGGAAGACCAAUGGCGAAGGCAGGUCUCUGGACAGUUCCUGACGCUGAGGCACGAAGGCCAGGGGAGCAAACGGG
This 253-nucleotide ribosomal RNA is filed under the name uncultured bacterium. RNAcentral describes it as "partial 16S ribosomal RNA". It matches the Rfam family "Bacterial small subunit ribosomal RNA", at positions 524 to 776 of the family's 1533-position model. The record is from RNAcentral.